GGCGAACGGGUGAGUAACACGUGAGUAACCUGCCCCCUUCUUCUGGAUAACCUCAUGAAAGUGGGGCUAAUACGGGAUAUUCUGGUCUGGUCGCAUGGCUGGGCUGGGAAAGAUGCGCCUUUUGGGUGUUUUUGGGGGGGGAUGGGCUCGCGGCCUAUCAGCUUGUUGGUGGGGUGAUGGCCUACCAAGGCGGUGACGGGUAGCCGGUCUGAGAGGGUGGACGGCCACACUGGGACUGAGACACGGCCCACACUCCUACGGGAGGCAGCAGGGGGGAAUAUUGCACAAUGGGCGCAAGCCUGAUGCAGCGACGCCGCGUGAGGGAUGGAGGCCUUCGGGUUGUGAACCUCUUUCGCCAGUGAAGCAGGCCUGCUCCUGUGUGGGUGGGUUGACGGUAGCUGGAUAAGAAGCGCCGGCUAACUACGUGCCAGCAGCCGCGGUAAUACGUAGGGCGCGAGCGUUGUCCGGAAUUAUUGGGCGUAAAGAGCUCGUAGGCGGCUGGUCGCGUCUGUCGUGAAAUCCUCUGGCUUAACUGGGGGCUUGCGGUGGGUACGGGCCGGCUUGAGUGCGGUAGGGGAGACUGGAAUUCCUGGUGUAGCGGUGGAAUGCGCAGAUAUCAGGAGGAACACCGGUGGCGAAGGCGGGUCUCUGGGCCGUUACUGACGCUGAGGAGCGAAAGCGUGGGGAGCGAACAGGAUUAGAUACCCUGGUAGUCCACGCCGUAAACGUUGGGCACUAGGUGUGGGGGGCCUUUUCCGGGUUCUUCCGCGCCGUAGCUAACGCAUUAAGUGCCCCGCCUGGGGAGUACGGCCGCAAGGCUAAAACUCAAAGGAAUUGACGGGGGCCCGCACAAGCGGCGGAGCAUGCGGAUUAAUUCGAUGCAACGCGAAGAACCUUACCAAGGCUUGACAUGAGGGCGAUCGCCUCGGAGACGGGGCUUCCUUUUUGGCGCUCUUACAGGUGGUGCAUGGUUGUCGUCAGCUCGUGUCGUGAGAUGUUGGGUUAAGUCCCGCAACGAGCGCAACCCCUUUCCUGUGUUGCCAGCAC
This 1047-nucleotide ribosomal RNA is filed under the name Actinomyces sp. C1I46. RNAcentral's name for it is "bacterial SSU rRNA". It matches the Rfam family "Bacterial small subunit ribosomal RNA", at positions 97 to 1124 of the family's 1533-position model. The record is from RNAcentral. Lineage: Bacteria; Bacillati; Actinomycetota; Actinomycetes; Actinomycetales; Actinomycetaceae.